RNAcentral lists this ribosomal RNA (446 nucleotides) under uncultured bacterium. RNAcentral's name for it is "partial 16S ribosomal RNA". It matches the Rfam family "Bacterial small subunit ribosomal RNA", at positions 338 to 795 of the family's 1533-position model. The record is from RNAcentral.
CCUACGGGUGGCAGCAGGCGAGAAGCAUGCACAAUGGGGGAAACCCUGAUGGGGCGACGCCGCGUGGGGGAAUGAAGGUCUGCGGAUUGUAAACCCCUGUCAUGUGGGAGCAAAUUAAAAAGAUAGUACCACAAGAGGAAGAGACGGCUAACCCUGUGCCAGCAGCCGCGGUAAUACAGAGGUCUCAAGCGUUGUUCGGAAUCACUGGGCGUAAAGCGUGCGUAGGCUGUUGCGCAAGUCGUGUGUGAAAGGCGCGGGCUCAACCCGCGGACGGCACAUGAUACUGCGAGGCUAGAGUAGUGGAGAGGGAACCGGAAUUCUCGGUGUAGCGGUGAAAUGCGUAGAUAUCGGGAGGAACACUCGUGGCGAAGGCGGGUUCCUGGACAGUAACUGACGCUGAGGCACGAAAGCCGGGGGAGCGAAAAGGAUUAGAUACCCUUGUAGUC